Molecule: ribosomal RNA, 497 nt
Filed under: uncultured bacterium
Lineage: Bacteria
Description: partial 16S ribosomal RNA
Rfam family: Bacterial small subunit ribosomal RNA
Source: RNAcentral
GAUGAACGCUGGCGGCGUGCCUAAUACAUGCAAGUCGAACGAACAGACGAGGAGCUUGCUCCUCUGUCGUUAGCGGCACACGGGUGUGUAACACGUGGAUAACCUACCUAUCAUACUGGUAAAACUUCGGAACACCGGAGCUAAUACCGGAUAACAUCUUCAUCCGCAUUGUGCAACAGUGAAAGACGGUCUUGCUGUCACUUCUAGACGUAUCCGCGCCGCGUUAGCUGGUUGGUAAGGUAACGGCUUACCAAGGGACCGAGGCGUAGCCGAGCGGAGAGGGGGAGCCGCCACAAUGGAAUGGAGAGACGGACUAGACUCCUGCGGGAGGCAGGAGUAGGGAAUCUGGCAGAAGGGGGGAAAGUCUGACGAAGCAAGGCAGCGUGAGGGAGGAAGGUCUCCGGAUCGUAGAAGGCUGUUAUGAGGGAAGAACAAAUGUGUAAGGAACUAGGCACGUUGUGACGGUACCUGAUCAGAAAGCAACGGCUAACUACGUG